RNAcentral lists this ribosomal RNA (520 nucleotides) under uncultured Glomus. RNAcentral's name for it is "SSU rRNA". It matches the Rfam family "Eukaryotic small subunit ribosomal RNA", at positions 569 to 1092 of the family's 1831-position model. The record is from RNAcentral. Lineage: Eukaryota; Fungi; Glomeromycota; Glomeromycetes; Glomerales; Glomeraceae.
AGCAGCCGCGGUAAUUCCAGCUCCAAUAGCGUAUAUUAAAGUUGUUGCAGUUAAAAAGCUCGUAGUUGAAUUUCAGAAUCAAUAUGUCGGUCGUGCCUUGGUACGUACUGGUAUCAUUGGUUUCUCCUUUCUGACGAACCAUGAUGUCACUAAUUUGGUGUUAUGGGAAGUUAGGACUGUUACUUUGAAAAAAUUAGAGUGUUUAAAGCAGGCUUUGGCUUGAAUACAUUAGCAUGGAAUAAUGAAAUAGGACGUUCGAACCUAUUUUGUUGGUUUCUAGGAUCAACGUAAUGAUUAAUAGGGAUAGUUGGGGGCAUUAGUAUUCAAUUGUCAGAGGUGAAAUUCUUGGAUUUAUUGAAGACUAACUACUGCGAAAGCAUUUGCCAAGGAUGUUUUCAUUAAUCAAGAACGAAAGUUAGGGGAUCGAAGACGAUCAGAUACCGUCGUAGUCUUAACCAUAAACUAUGCCGACUAGGGAUCGGAUGAUGUUAAUUUUUAAUGACUCAUUCGGCGCCUUACG